Molecule: ribosomal RNA, 504 nt
Filed under: uncultured bacterium
Lineage: Bacteria
Description: bacterial SSU rRNA
Rfam family: Bacterial small subunit ribosomal RNA
Source: RNAcentral
AGAGUUUGAUCAUGGCUCAGGACGAACGCUGGCGGCGUGCUUAACACAUGCAAGUCGAACGGUGACCUGCGGAGCUUGCUCCGCGGCGAUCAGUGGCGAACGGGUGAGUAACACGUGAGGAACCUGCCCUGGACUUUGGGAUAACCCUCGGAAACGGGGGCUAAUACCGGAUAUGGCAUUUCAUCGCAUGGUGGGGUGUGGAAAGAUUUAUCGGAUCGGGAGGGUCUCGCGGCCUAUCAGCUUGUUGGAGAGGUAACGGCUCACCAAGGCAUCGACGGGUAGCUGGUCUGAGAGGAUGAUCAGCCACACUGGGACUGAGACACGGCCCAGACUCCUACGGGAGGCAGCAGUGGGGAAUCUUGCACAAUGGGCGAAAGCCUGAUGCAGCAACGCCGCGUGCGGGAUGAAGGCCCUAGGGUUGUAAACCGCUUUCAGCAGGGAAGAAAAUGACGGUACCUGCAGAAGAAGGUGCGGCCAACUACGUGCCAGCAGCCGCGGUAAUUC